UCCCUCUCUAAAGCUUCUGGGUUCGGGACAGAGCCCAGAAAUAUAUUAAUUAAAGCGCACUACCACAGACUUGUUAGCACUGGGAAAGAAGUGGCUGGAUCAAGUCAAGCUCUGUCAGCGGAUGGAUGAAGAUUCACGGCAGGAAAAGAAAAAAAAAAAAGAUCAAUGCCGCAGCACUCUCUCAUUCACCCUGAACUAGUGGUGAACUCCCCCGGAACGCCGCCAGCCUCUCCAUCCUAUCCCAUCGCAGUCCGGGGUCACCAGGGGGGCGUCUCUGUGCCAAUAUGCAGAUGAGUCUGUGCCCCUCCAAUGACUCUGGAGUUAAGCUCCACCCUUCUAUAUGGUGGAGCCCCCACCCAACAGCACACUCGCACACAUUGAGGCAUAAACCCACUCUCACAUUGGCUUAAAUAGGCCUUUAACCGCUUACGUCCGCUCUUCCUUUAAUAGCCAAAGUGUGUCGAACCUAAUGGAUGUUGUCAAAGCUGAGAUGUGACGGCUGAUUUAGAGGAGGAACCCCAAUGACCAGGCUCUACAGGCCACUAACGAUAGAGAGAGGGAUAGAAAGAGAGAGUGGGGAAAGGGUGAGAGAAUUACCUCAGCUAUGCCAUAAAUCAUAGUAAUAUCUUUAAAAGAUGUUGGGAUCGAUGAGGUGUCAUCUGGCUGUAUCUUGUGUGUGAGUGAACCCAUAAGCAGCCAAUGAGUGCUACAGGACUUUGUCUUCCAUUUUACUCGCUUACUGGAGAAGUUUUCCUACCCAUAAGCAGUUUUUACUUGAUUUCAUGUAUUGUUAAAACAAGUUAUAACGGAAAAAGAGCAGGUUCCAUUUGAAUUAGUUUAACUUACAUGUUUAUCUUGCAUUACACUGAUCAAACUUUGAAAAUAAGAAAUACUGUGUAUUGAUGUGUGCUAUCUUGCAUUAACUGUGAAUCAAUUAAGUUCCAUGUGUUCAUUUUAACAAGAUCAUUGUAAUUGCAUAAAUUUAAUAAAGUUUAUUGAAAAUGCAA
Long non-coding RNA from Eleginops maclovinus (Patagonian blennie), 1007 nucleotides. RefSeq lists it as uncharacterized. Lineage: Eukaryota; Metazoa; Chordata; Actinopteri; Perciformes; Eleginopidae. The transcript has 2 exons. The record is from RefSeq and is a predicted model, not a curated record.